GUGGGGAAUAUUGGACAAUGGGCGAAAGCCUGAUCCAGCCAUGCCGCGUGUGUGAAGAAGGUCUUCGGAUUGUAAAGCACUUUAAGUUGGGAGGAAGGGCAGUAAGUUAAUACCUUGCUGUUUUGACGUUACCGACAGAAUAAGCACCGGCUAACUUCGUGCCAGCAGCCGCGGUAAUACGAAGGGUGCAAGCGUUAAUCGGAAUUACUGGGCGUAAAGCGCGCGUAGGUGGUUUUGUAAGUUGAAGGUGAAAUCCCCGGGCUCAACCUGGGAACUGCCUCCAAAACUGCAUGACUAGAGUACGGUAGAGGGUAGUGGAAUUUCCUGUGUAGCGGUGAAAUGCGUAGAUAUAGGAAGGAACACCAGUGGCGAAGGCGACUACCUGGACUGAUACUGACACUGAGGUGCGAAAGCGUGGGGAGCAAACAGGAUUAGAUACCCUAGUAGUCC
Molecule: ribosomal RNA, 450 nt
Filed under: uncultured bacterium
Lineage: Bacteria
Description: partial 16S ribosomal RNA
Rfam family: Bacterial small subunit ribosomal RNA
Source: RNAcentral